Molecule: small RNA, 6795 nt
Filed under: Pyricularia oryzae
Lineage: Eukaryota; Fungi; Ascomycota; Sordariomycetes; Magnaporthales; Pyriculariaceae
Description: Magnaporthe oryzae sRNA M_BR32_EuGene_00142591
Source: RNAcentral
UUUAAAUACCAGGAUAUUAUUAACCAAUUUAAUUUGUUUUUUAAACUGCUUAUAGCGGUUAAAAUUAGGGGGUGGGGUUAAGGGCUUUUAAUAAUAAACGCUAUAAUUACGUUAAUAAGGUAUUGUAUGGAAGAUGUACGGAUCCACAAGUUUUGCCGCCGAACUAUUCCGCACACUUUUAUUCUAAUUAUUGAAAAUUAAACGCCGUAUUUAUUUCGAUUUAAAAUUCCUUUCGAUUUAUAAAACCAGGUUAUUCGCAAUUAGGUAUAUUAGCUGUAUUUGCCUGCGACGUCCUGGCAACUUACCAAUCCAUAUUCCAGUCAAAGCAGCACCUGCAAAAUUACCUAAGCAAAUGGGUAUAACCAGCUGGUGCAAAAAAAAAAAAAAAUUUUAAACCCGAUAUAUAUAAAAUCACUAUAUCUAUUAAACGUAUUAUCUCCAAAACUCUAACAAACCCCACAAUCCUAAACUGAUCGACACCCGUAAACGGCCUCCUAUAUUUGGGAUACUAGUCUAUAGCUGCAUAUUAGGCUCCCAAAUGGGGACAAAAUUAAAUUAACCACCAAAAGGCCAAAUCACGACCAUUCUUUUAAAACGUUACCCAUUUAAUACGCUAUAAUUUUAUUAACUUGGGCUUUAUUUUUUUAAAACUAACUCCAAAAUAAAGCCAAAAUAAAUUUGUCCUCAUAACCGACUUUUUGCUAUAUUAUAUAUUUUUUUCGUGGUAAAAUAAUCGCAAAAAUUAAAAUACCAUUCCGCGAUUAAUUUAAUUUUGUCCCCCAUUUAUCUCCCUCAACCACCGCAUUCCUAACUUAAUCGAACAGCUAUAUAAACCUGCAUUUUCUCAGCUAUAUAAAAACCCGUUUUUGCGGCUUGGAGCAAAACCGCAAUUUAAUUUAAAAACCUGGGCGGCAAACUGCGGAAUUAACCUCCGCAUUGUUUCGCCACGUAUUACCAAUGCGCCAUACCCUUCUGGCGUCCGCAAUUUACCGUGCCGUAAAUAACGCGCCGCAAUAAUGGAGGACCUCUUACAUUAUAAUUAACCCCCUUCCGAUUGGAAUAAAUGGCUUAAAAUAACUUUAUUAUAUACUGGGCUAUCCUACCAAAUUAUGCUAUUUAUUUUAUAAAAAUGCAAAUAUUAACAGGCGCUUACCACCACCUGUAUAUAUUAUUCCCCAUUCGAAUAUGCGAAAAAAUUGGAAACGCAAAUUAGAAUUUUAUAAUAUGCAUUUUUUCCAAAUUAUAUACCAAUUGCAAUUAAUGUUGUAAAAUUGAAAAGCAAUAGUUUCCCCAAUACCCUUUCAAUACCAAUGCGUGGUAUUAAACAAUCGGUUCCCUAUAUUAAUACCCUUUGCACCAAUAUACUUAUUCUCAAAUACCCGCAACGCCACAAUACCCACGUCUCCAUACCACCCUAAUUUCCGCCGAAGGCUACCCCCUUUAGAAAUUCCAUCCACCUCAAAUUCGAUCGCACCAACCUAAACUACACCUGCAACUAACAAAAUCUUGGCUUUGGAAUUUAUAGCUCGGAUAUAUUCGACGCAAUUAAUUAUACUCUUACCCGUAUUAAUAAUUAAAUCGACUAACAAAAUACUUUCCAUAUCCACAACGUUUUUCGUAACAAAUUUAUGCGGGUAUUUGGCGAAUGCAAACAUCGCCAAAGGAAAAAUUUGGUAUACGCCCCUAACUAUGGGCUCGCCGCCACGCAUUAUAACCACGAUCAAAGUUCGCUUUUCGGCUUUGAGCCGAUAUCCAAUGGUCUUUUGGCCUUAUACGUGCGGUAUAAUAUAUUCCUUUAGGCCAAUCACCUGGGCGACAACCUGCGUCGCCAAAAAUCGUCCGGCCUAAAUAUGCGCCUUUUGUAAAACUGGGCCGGCGAUUAAAACGUCCCGCAUGGGUAAAGUUAGGAAUUUGGUUGCCGUCGACGGCGCGAUAUUAACAGGUAUAUCCUCCAUUGGAUACUGCAAUUCCGCAAUCGACAACCCUGGACGUGGGAUUAUAUUCGAUGGCAAAAAUAUUUAUUUAAUUCUGGUUUCAAAAUUCUUAUCAUGGGUUUUCCCGAAAACUUUGGAGCGGAUGGCUUUUUUUAACUUUAAAUCCAUUGUAUUAUUCCGGGUUUCUUUAUUCCCGACAAUUACAAAGGCGCGGCCGGCCUCAACUAUUAUAAGAAUAUCUAAAAAAUUAUCCCCAUAUACCGUAACGUUGCGGCGAUAAUCCCCAAUCUUAAAAAUGGCAAACCAUGCCACAAUUAUCGCUUUAGUUUGGGGUAUUACGACGUAUUGGUCCCUAACUCGGCCGCCACCAAAAAUAAAAAUCCCCUGGAGCCUUAUUCGUUGGAACGCCAUUUCCCAAACCCGGCGGACGCCAUUUAUUACUACCAACGGAAUUACCCGCGGAUUUCGGGUAACCUGUAACAAAAUAAUGGCCAUUUCCGGAUAAAUGGUAAUUUGGUUAAAUACGGUGUCGCAAAUGGAAUUAUACAUCUCGUUAAAACAUUCGAAACUUUCUAGAAACACCGACAUUUGCUGGAAAACAUAAUGGGUAUAGCCCAACGGGCCGCCGAAAACCGUUUUAAAAACAACUUUUAUUUCCUUUGGUUAUUUUAAAUAGCCAUUACUGAGGCACUUUUUUACGAAAAACGUUCCAAAAUCUUAAAAGGCAAAUGUCCGGUCCGUAUUAAAUACCAAAAUAUUGCUGCAUAAUUCAAAUUGGAUAUUGCUGAAAAUCCUACUGGUUAUAAAUACCGCAAAAUCUAAAUUUUGCUGCUCGUUCAAAUUCCAAAAUAAAUACAAAUCUGCGACGCGCUGCACCGUUAUUUCCUUCCUUCCAUUAACAAUUGCGAAAACAAUACUUUUAUUUAAAUAAAAGUAAAACAGCCUUUUAACCUCGACAUCCUACCACCUGUUUACCUCCUUAAUUGGGAAUAAUACUCGCUUCCGCUGCAUAUUAACAACGCAUUAUUUGCAAAUAUUUUUUGCGGGGACCUUAAAAUAAAUAAUAUACGUAAAUAUUUCCAGGUCGGCUUUAAUAUAUACUUUUUGCAAACCCCCGUCGAGAUUAUCGUUUGGCAGGAUAAAAUGGCCGGCCACCAGGGCGCUCUUGCCGUUAUUACAGGCAUCCCUGCCAAUUUGUCUAAUAGCCGUAGCCCGGUGGCGCUAUUUAUCUGCGUGCGGCAGCUUUUUAAAGGCAGUUAAACCGCCGUCCACAACAAAAUCGAUGACUUCAGAGCCCUUAUAAUAGUCGUACUCCUCAAACCAUAUUUCUGUCGUUUGGCGGAAUUAAAACAGCAGGGUUAUUUUGCCGGCUCCUGGAAAGCCGUAAAUACCAAUUAUAUUUGGAAUUUUAAUUUUAUUAACGCAUAUUGAAAAACUUCGCUAAUAGUGCUUACAAAAUACAAAUGUAAAAAAUAGCACAAAAUAAAAGAAAAAAAAAUAUUUCCAAAUUAAAAAAACAAGGGAAAAAUGGAAAUUUAUUUUUGUAAAUCCAAAUGUCGAAGGGAGCUAGGGAAAAUAUCUGAUCGAAAUAAAAUAAUUUCCAAAAUUUGCCACCUAUCCGAAUUAAUAUGCAAAAUAUAAGGUAAAUGGGAAUAUUUAUUUUUUAAAUAUUAUUAAAUAUAAUUAGGAAAAGAUAAUAUAAUUACAUUAAACUGUUAAUUGCAAAAGGGAUUUACCAUCCUUAAUAUUUUGCACCUAUGCAAAGACCACCCUCCGUAAUAUAAACGGGUCAAAGUCUCCGGUUAUACGUAAUUAACAAUAAUAGGGAUAAUAUUAUACCUUACACUAUAAUAUUAUAUAGGAGACGGCCUGCCGCCAUUUAUUUCUUAAGGUUUGGGAAACGUAUAAAUAAUAAUGCUAAUUUGUUAACGAUUGGAUUAAAAAUAAUUUCGGGAAUAUAUUAGUUAUUUGCAAACAGAGAUAUAUGGAAGGCCGCCAAAACAAAAUAACCGGUUUAAUACAAAUAUUAUCAAAUUUCGCUUGGUUAAAAACGCCCGAUUACAUUAAUUAAAUCCGCGGCGAUAUAUUGCAACGACGGGACUUCAUAAUCAAAAGCCGAAUUAAAAAAGCCCCUCGUUUGUAAUUAAAGAAGCAAAAGCCAAAAGGCCUUUACCCUCGUUACCCAACUCCUGCAAAUCCGCGGAUCUAACCUAUACCGCCUUAUAACCUCAUCGACCUUGCUAAUCUUCCUGGGGUUAACAACUUUUCUAAUUUCUUUCAACUUUCGUCCCCUCGCACCGCACGCAAAUACCACGAUACAAUAAAAGGUCCACCGCAGGUUAAAUUUGGCUAUUAUAUAUAAUAAUAUAUUGGCGGGCACCGCAAUAAAUAUAUAAUUUUAAAAAGGGUGUCCGUCAAACCGCGCUCUAUUAAUUGUAAAAACGAUAUCGGCCGUUUCGUUUAAUUGUAAAAUCGAUAUAAUAGCGGUACGGCGUUCGACCAAUUUUUUAUAUAGCCGGGCACGAUGCCACAAUACCGAAACCUGGCGGGGUAAAAAUAUAAAUAUGUGCCAGCGGUGGAAGGCGGCGUUUCGGAAGCGAAUUUUAAUUUUUUAUUUUAUUUUAUAAUGGUAUUUGGUAGUGGAACAACUUUUUAUAAAUUUACGUCAAUUAUAAUAUCGGCUAUAAAAAAGACAGAUAAUAUAUAAAAAUCAAAUAGCGUUACAAACCGAGUUCCACCACCAUUGUUUUUUUGCUACGUUUGGGCGGCGACGUUUUCGUACCGUAUAUUGAAAAAAAAAAUUAAAUUUUCGCUGCCUAUUCGAUUAACCAAUCGAAAGAGUUUUUACCCUAUUUAAACGGUGCCAAUACCGUCCGGACCCGCAUUUUGCUGGGUAAUAAAUAAUAUGCCCGGUAAUGGAGGGCCUCCUAUAUCGUAAUGGACGCGGUUUUAAAUGGAGUAGGGGUAAAUGGCGCAAAAUGGUUUGUGUGUUUUAAGGGUUAUAUGGACGUAUUAUAACCACCUAAAGAAUUGUAUAAGCAAACCCAGUACGGUUAACUGCCCCCAAUAUCUUCCAAAAAUACGAAUCUUGGAGUUUUGUAUUCUAUAUAACUUUGGCAAAUACUUCGAUCCUAAUUUUAUUAACAGAGCCUUUUGUAUUUUAAAUGUUAAUUUAUAACUGGAUCGCCCAUUCGCAAAACUGUUAAAUUAUUAUUCGUUAUUAUUAAUUACCUUUAUUUUCGUAAAUGUGGAAGCAAACCACGUUAACCAUAUUAAUACCCAGCAAAAACCACGCUAAAAUACGGCCAACCAACAAUCAAAAAUAAUACCGAAAAGAAGACAAUUGCAUUUUGUCAAUUGCUCACAGCCCAAAUAGCGCGUUAUUAAUAAAAUAAAAAUUAUUUUUUUUUAAUUAAAUAUGCUGCCAUUAUACAGAAGGCCCCUUAUAUGCAAAGGUUAGGGAAAAUGCUUUAUUGCGGGCCAUUAACCAAAAUGUUUGCUUAUUAAAUAUAUCGGAAACCUACGGUUGCAUUUACAGAAAUUAUUAGGUUUAUAUAAAGGGCCUGUUAUUUUCCUAUUAUUAUAUCUUACAAAUAAUAGUUUUGGUGGGUAUUAUUUAUAUUAUUACGAAAAAGCUUUGAAAUAUAUACGGUUAAUUCUCCAUAUAUAUAACCAAAAACGGGCGUAGUAAUUUGUGGUUGAAAACGGGCUGGAAUGGCCGCAUAAUGCAAUCAAAUAACAAUAUUGCAAAAAUUAUACGCCUAUAGGCGAGCUGACGAGGUAUUAAUUAAUACGCUAUAUUACCCCCUGUCGCUUCGCAAAAAAGCCCGCCCAAAAGCUAUUAGCUCCAGGAAAGGACGGCCUCCUAUAUAAGGGGUAAUAUUAUUCCGACUGGCUGGCUAGUAGCACACCAUAUAUUAAAUUAUAUAUAUUGUUUUUAAAAAUAUAUAAUUAUAUAUUGUGGGAAAGAUAGAAGCAUGUAAGGGUAGUUACAACGCCCCUUUCCAUACUUUUAUUAUAUUAUUGCCUAUUCGCAAACGUCGAUUUGCGCCUUUCCUAUAUAAAAAAGAUACGUCUAGUAAUUUCCCCAGGCCUAGCCAAAUUAACAGCGUAAAUUAUAAUUUGGUUAAUUAGAAUUUCCCUUUAUCCGCCGUAUUUUCUUUUUUAAUAACGAAUUAUAUAAUUCUGUCGCGCAAAUUUUGCACCAUAUAUAGGAUAUUCUCCCCUUAUAUUAAAAUAUUUGUUUUCGGCCGCCCAUAUCCUGUAAGUUUUCCAAAUAUAACGUUUUUUUUUUUUUUCAUCUUCCGUCCUUUCCCAUAGGCAAUCCCUUUUGGGAUAUUUUCGAUAUUGGUGCAUAUAUAUCCUAUAUAAUAGGCAAAUAAAUCAGGAAGGUAACAAUAAUUAUUAUAAGUGAGAUAAUUAAAAGAAUUAGCUUGAAUUGAAUUUAUUCCAGUUUAUUUAAAAUUGCGGCGUUGUAUCGGCAAUUUUUCCAGUUGCAACGAAGGCGAAUUUUUUGUUUUGCUGGCUGUUUUCCAGAAAUAUUUUUAGCAGGAAUAAAAUAUUAUAAAAAUUUGUGACAAAAUAGGAAAAAACAAUUGUUUAAUUUUACUAGGCUGUUAACAAUACCUUUUAAUAAACCUAAAUUCGUUAUUUUCCGGUACCGUUUGCACCGAUUUUUUAUUAAAAGCCAUAGGAUUUUGAUAAAAUCGUUGCAAUUCACCAGCGGUUUAAAUUUUUUGGGAUAAUGUGGAGGAAUUAUUUCGGUUAAAUACUGCUGGGUUAACCCCCCAAAUAUUAUCGGUAAAUAACGGCGCUGGAAUCGGCUUUUUAAAAAAUUCGAUAUUGGACAAAAAUUGAUAUU